RNAcentral lists this long non-coding RNA (451 nucleotides) under Anolis carolinensis (green anole). RNAcentral describes it as "lncRNA (ENSACAG00000041571.1)". The record is from RNAcentral. Lineage: Eukaryota; Metazoa; Chordata; Lepidosauria; Squamata; Anolidae.
GCGGCUCAUCCGGGCACUCGGCUUCCGGGUGCGCGCGCCUGACGCUUUGUUUUGGUCUGGAGCCGGAAGGGACCCUUUUCUCGCGCCUAAGACCCAGGGAGGAAAGAAGGACAUCACCAUCAAAUGCACACAGAGGGAAAUAGGCCCAUCUACACUGACUAUAUAAUGCAGCUCCAAGAAACUCGAGGCCACAGUAGCCACAAAACGCACACCACUGAUGUCUGCUGUAGCAUGGAUUAAACAGGAAACAGCACAUUUAAAAAGUCAAAUAAAAGUCUGAUGUAAGCCAUAAUUUGUGCUGCUGCUGAUCCCAGUGUAUCCCAGUUUUGUCCCAAACUUGGCUUAGUUCCCAGCGAGCUGGCUCCAAUGUUUUUCAGUCAAGACAUGCAGAGAUGAGGGUAGAACCAGAAAUUUAUUGUGUCAUUGAUCAAAGAAGGAUUCCCGGGGAAAU